RNAcentral lists this non-coding RNA (30 nucleotides) under Homo sapiens (human). The record is from RNAcentral. Lineage: Eukaryota; Metazoa; Chordata; Mammalia; Primates; Hominidae.
UUGCCACUCCUAUAUCCCUGCCCGUCUUGA